This 593-nucleotide long non-coding RNA is filed under the name Ananas comosus (pineapple). Its description in RNAcentral is "long non-coding RNA (ACOM_LNC017149)". The record is from RNAcentral. Lineage: Eukaryota; Viridiplantae; Streptophyta; Magnoliopsida; Poales; Bromeliaceae.
AUACGUAAAAUUUAAAAAUAUUCAAGUCCACGCCAUGAGUCUAUCUAAAGGUCUAGAAUCUAGAUGCGAGGGAAUUAAAGUACUAAAUAUAAAAAUAUAGAAAAUAUCAUCCUCUGUAAGUUUAAGUUUUUAAAAAAUAACGAUUAUUUUAUGUAAUUUAAUAUAAUACCAGAGUAAGAAAGUUCUGAGUUUGAGUCCUCAUAUCUUGGGUCUUUUAAAAAGUUUUAAGUCUAGAUGUGAGAUAGAGUACUGUUAAAUAUAAGAGAAAUGAUUCGGUACUUUUUUUAAAAAAAAAUAAAAAAGAUCUUAACCGUUGAUUAAUAAAGGGUAAAAAUGUAACUUUAAUACUUAGCAGGUAAAAGGAUUAUUUUAUUCAAGAUUAGUUUGGUAAUUAAAUAAUACAAUAUUUAAAGAAAUUUUAAUUGAGGUCCUAAAUUUAUGCAUUAAUUAGCACUAAUUUAGGAAAUUAAUUGAUUAACCAAAUUUAUGCAAUUAUUAGGCAUUAAUUUAGGAAUCUACUUUAAAUGUUUUAGUGUUUCUUAAAUUAUGCAUUAAUUUAAAUUAUAGAAAUUUUAGAAAUAGUUUUAUUUCUA